AGGCCCCUCCUAGCUCCAACAAUACCCCCCCCCACAAUGAACCCCCUCCCCCAAACCAAAACAUUUUAACUCAACCCAGUAUAGGCGAUAGAAAAGAGCCCAAGGACGCUAUAGAGAUACAGUACCGCAAGGGAAAGAUGAAAUAACAGUGAAACCCAAAGCACCAAACAGUAAAGAUAAACCCUUGUACCUUCUGCAUCAUGAUCUAGCAAGAACAACCAAGCAAAACGAAUUUUGAGCUUGCCCCCCCGAAACCCAAGCGAGCUACUCACAGGCAGCCAACCUGGGCGAACCCGUCUCUGUCGCAAAAGAGUGGGACGACCUGUUAGUAGAGGUGAUAAGCCUAUCGAGCUGGGUGAUAGCUGGUUACCUGUGAAAAGAAUCUAAGUUCUGCCCUAACACCCCCCCCCGCCGGACAACAACCCACCAUGAGGGGGUUAAGAGUACUUUAAAGGGGGUACAGCCCCUUUAAAAAAGGACACAACCUCCACUAGAGGAUAACCCACCAUGCGCUAAACAGUGGGCCUUCAAGCAGCCACCAACAAAGAGUGCGUCAAAGCUCUACACCCUAAAAAUCCCCCCAACCGUAUGACUCCCUUACCACUAGCAGGUCAACCUAUCAGCCCAUAGGAGAAUCAAUGCUAGAAUGAGUAAUCUGGGACCGCCCUCUGAGGCGCAAGCUUACAUCAAAAUAUUAUUAACAAGCAGAAUCAGGCCCAAACACCAACAAGAACAGCCUAUCCCCACCCCCUGUUAACCCAACAAAGGAGCGCCCGCCAGAAAGAUUUAAAUCUGCAAAAGGAACUAGGCAAACCUAAGGCCCGACUGUUUACCAAAAACAUAGCCCUCAGCCGCCCAAGUAUUGAAGGUGAUGCCUGCCCAGUGACGCCACGUUCAACGGCCGCGGUAUCCUAACCGUGCGAAGGUAGCGCAAUCAAUUGUCCCAUAAAUCGAGACCUGUAUGAACGGCUAAACGAGGUCUUAACUGUCUCUUGCAGAUAAUCGAUGAAAUUAAUCCCCCUGUGCAAAAGCAGGGAUGCACACAUAAGACGAGAAGACCCUGUGGAACUUCAAAAUCAGCGACCACUACACGCACUUUCCCCCCACUGGGGCCCCCAAACGCCCUGUACACCUGGCCGCUAUUUUUUGGUUGGGGCGACCUUGGAGAAAAACAAAUCCUCCAAAACAAGGACCACACCUCCUAACCAAGAACAACCCCUCAACGUACUAACAGUAACCAGACCCAAUAAAAUUGAACAAUGGACCAAGCUACCCCAGGGAUAACAGCGCAAUCCCCUCCAAGAGCCCCUAUCGACGAGGGGGCUUACGACCUCGAUGUUGGAUCAGGACAUCCUAAUGGCGCAGCCGCUAUUAAGGGUUCGUUUGUUCAACGAUUAACAGUCCUACGUGAUCUGAGUUCAGACCGGAGCAAUCCAGGUCGGUUUCUAUCUAUGACGGACUCUCCCUAGUACGAAAGGACCGGAAGAGUGUGGCCACUGCCCCACAGCACGCCCCCCCCAAAGUAGUGAAUUCAACUCAACUACCCCCCAACACCCCCGCCCUAAAAAAGGGCAG
RNAcentral lists this ribosomal RNA (1575 nucleotides) under Glaucidium brasilianum (ferruginous pygmy-owl). RNAcentral's name for it is "16S ribosomal RNA". It matches the Rfam family "Bacterial large subunit ribosomal RNA". The record is from RNAcentral. Lineage: Eukaryota; Metazoa; Chordata; Aves; Strigiformes; Strigidae.